GGUCGUUUAGCUCAGGCGGUUCAGAGUAUCGUGCUAAUAACGCGAGGGUCGCAGGUUCGAGCCCUGCAUCGACCA
RNAcentral lists this transfer RNA (75 nucleotides) under Perkinsus olseni. It matches the Rfam family "tRNA". Rfam says of the family: Transfer RNA (tRNA) molecules are approximately 80 nucleotides in length. Their secondary structure includes four short double-helical elements and three loops (D, anti-codon, and T loops). The record is from Rfam by way of RNAcentral. Lineage: Eukaryota; Perkinsozoa; Perkinsida; Perkinsidae.